Molecule: ribosomal RNA, 492 nt
Filed under: uncultured bacterium
Lineage: Bacteria
Description: partial 16S ribosomal RNA
Rfam family: Bacterial small subunit ribosomal RNA
Source: RNAcentral
AGUGAACGCUGGCGGUAGGCCUAACACAUGCAAGUCGAACGGCAGCACAGUAAGAGCUUGCUCUUACGGGUGGCGAGUGGCGGACGGGUGAGGAAUACAUCGGAAUCUACUUUUACGUGGGGGAUAACGUAGGGAAACUUACGCUAAUACCGCAUACGACCUACGGGUGAAAGCAGGGGAUCUUCGGACCUUGCGCGACUGAAUGAGCCGAUGUCGGAUUAGCUAGUUGGCGGGGUAAAGGCCCACCAAGGCGACGAUCCGUAGCUGGUCUGAGAGGAUGAUCAGCCACACUGGAACUGAGACACGGUCCAGACUCCUACGGGAGGCAGCAGUGGGGAAUAUUGGACAAUGGGCGCAAGCCUGAUCCAGCCAUACCGCGUGGGUGAAGAAGGCCUUCGGGUUGUAAAGCCCUUUUGUUGGGAAAGAAAAGCAGCAGGUUAAUACCCCGCUGUUCUGACGGUACCCAAAGAAUAAGCACCGGCUAACUUCGUG